GGAAUUGACGGGGCCGCACAAGCGGUGGAGCAUGUGGUUUAAUUCGAAGCAACGCGAAGAACCUUACCAGGUCUUGACAUCCCCUGACAACCCAAGAGAUUGGGCGUUCCCCGUUCGGGGGGACAGGGUGACAGGUGGUGCAUGGUUGUCGUCAGCUCGUGUCGUGAGAUGUUGGGUUAAGUCCCGCAACGAGCGCAACCCUCGCCUCUAGUUGCCAGCAUUCGGUUGGGCACUCUAGAGGGACUGCCGGCGACAAGUCGGAGGAAGGUGGGGAUGACGUCAAAUCAUCAUGCCCCUUAUGACCUGGGCUACACACGUGCUACAAUGGGCGGUACAAAGGGCUGCGAACCCGCGAGGGGGAGCGAAUCCCAAAAAGCCGCUCUCAGUUCGGAUUGCAGGCUGCAACUCGCCUGCAUGAAGGCGGAAUCGCUAGUAACCGUCGGUCAGCAUUACGACGGUGAAUACGUUCCCGGGCCUU
Molecule: ribosomal RNA, 478 nt
Filed under: uncultured Geobacillus sp.
Lineage: Bacteria; Bacillati; Bacillota; Bacilli; Caryophanales; Anoxybacillaceae
Description: bacterial SSU rRNA
Rfam family: Bacterial small subunit ribosomal RNA
Source: RNAcentral